Molecule: non-coding RNA, 66 nt
Filed under: Candidatus Avimicrobium caecorum
Lineage: Bacteria; Bacillati; Bacillota; Clostridia
Description: Fluoride riboswitch
Rfam family: Fluoride riboswitch aptamer (crcB RNA motif)
Source: RNAcentral
GUAUCGGGAAUGAAGUUCUCCCGCGGGAAACCGGAACCGCCGUAUGACUGGCUGAUGACUUCUGUG